AUCAUUUUCUGUGUAUUCAUGAAAAGGAAAGUCCCUUACUCCUCAGCAUGGACAUCACAAGAACUCCUGCUAAACAGGACAUGGCCCUUCUCUCCUUCUACAAGCGACCUGAUGUUGAAUGGGCACGACCCCUGAAUUGCAGACUUGAAGGAGAUACUGCCAUUGGACAGGGUGUAACUCGCUUCUUUUUCUCAACAUGCAUUGUUAAAUCACAAGUCUCCACUCUACCUGAAUGUUAAUUCACCAGGCCACACCUGAUCACCUAAGCCACGCCCCCAACACUAUAAAACCCUGCACCCAAGCCUUUGUUCCCCCUUUUCCCUCCAAACCUGCCAUGUGCCAGUGACUCCUUUGUUAAAAUGUUUGUACCAUGUGGUUUUGAACUAUUACCUGGAGUGGAUGCAUUACUGAUCACAAAUCAUCCACAUCCACAUCCACAUCUGAACUCACUCCUUUGUCUGUUGUGAAUAAACCUUCGAAACCUGCCCUGGACCUGGUGUGUCUGACUUCACACCACACAUUGUUCAGUGAACCAGCAUCAGGAGAACACAGACUUUUAACAUGCAUGGAAAAGCUAAUGUCUGGGUUUACAUCAAUUUUGGUAUGUAUAUUAUAUGUAAGGCAUUCUUGCAAAUGCUGUUUAUUUUAUGUUGUAUAGUAAAUAUUUUUUUAAUACUGUGUGCUACAUGUCUAUUGUAUAAUAGUUUGUUUGCUCCACCUUAGUUCCAACUCCAUUCGAUCUGCAGAGUCCCUCUCUACUUUCAAAAGACAGCUAAAGACCCAGCUCUUUAGGAAGCACUAUGCACUUAG
Molecule: long non-coding RNA, 810 nt
Organism: Notolabrus celidotus (New Zealand spotty)
Lineage: Eukaryota; Metazoa; Chordata; Actinopteri; Labriformes; Labridae
Exons: 3
Source: RefSeq, a predicted model, not a curated record